AUUGAACGCUGGCGGCAUGCCUUACACAUGCAAGUCGAACGGUAACGGGCCUUCGGGUGCCGACGAGUGGCGAACGGGUGAGUAAUACAUCGGAACGUGCCCGAUCGUGGGGGAUAACGAGGCGAAAGCUUUGCUAAUACCCCAUACGAUCUACGGAUGAAAGCAGGGGACCGCAAGGCCUUGCGCGGACGGAGCGGCCGAUGGCAGAUUAGGUAGUUGGUGGGAUAAAAGCUUACCAAGCCGACGAUCUGUAGCUGGUCUGAGAGGAUGAUCAGCCACACUGGGACUGAGACACGGCCCAGACUCCUACGGGAGGCAGCAGUGGGGAAUUUUGGACAAUGGGCGCAAGCCUGAUCCAGCCAUGCCGCGUGCAGGAUGAAGGCCUUCGGGUUGUAAACUGCUUUUGUACGGAACGAAAAGCCUUCUUUUAAUACAGGAGGGUCAUGACGGUACCGUAAGAGUAAGCACCGGCUAACUACGUG
RNAcentral lists this ribosomal RNA (482 nucleotides) under uncultured bacterium. Its description in RNAcentral is "partial 16S ribosomal RNA". It matches the Rfam family "Bacterial small subunit ribosomal RNA", at positions 30 to 507 of the family's 1533-position model. The record is from RNAcentral.